Molecule: non-coding RNA, 1314 nt
Organism: Punica granatum (pomegranate)
Lineage: Eukaryota; Viridiplantae; Streptophyta; Magnoliopsida; Myrtales; Lythraceae
Source: RefSeq, a predicted model, not a curated record
CCCACGUGUCCCCCAAAAUUUUCCCCCUGGAGUCUUCCACCGCCAUUCUUUUCAUUCAUUUGUCUUGUCUCCUUUCUCUCUUUUACUCUGUUAUGCUUUUGGGCUGGAAAACGUAAAGACGAAACAGAGCAAGAGAUAGAAAGGAAAACAGAGACAGCUGGGGGGAAGAAGAAGAACGAAAAUGUGAGCAGCCAUCCACUUCUUCCUUUUUUUCUUGUUUUGUUCUGCUGCUUUCUUUUUCUUCCAUUCUUCUAUUUUGCUGUGGGAAGUCAAGGGAGAAAACAGAGAAAUAGAGGAUGAGAGCGGAGAGAGAUAGAACAGAGUGAGCUGAAGAAGAAACUUAAGAGGAGAGCAAGGCUAGGCUCGGGUUCUUGAAGCAACAGAGGAGAUCAAAAUCAUGCACCCGGGAGGUUUGACUCAUUAAAAUAGUUUUGGCGAGUUUCCGUCUCUUCAAGUGCCGCAUAUUGGGAGACGCCACACAGCUAGUUGAGGCCAAGCUACUACUGAGAUUUAGAAAGCAUUGGAGAUAGAGAAGUAGCCCUGGGCAAGAAGCUCCUGUGGGUCUUCUCUAAUGUGAAGGAGUUAACCCUAUCUUUCUCGAUUAUAGAGGCCAAGCUUCCUUUAGUACAUUUUCCUCUCUAGCUGUGAUUUUAUUUUGUUUGUAUCUCUGAGGCUCGCCUUUUUGCUGCAUCUUUAGGACCUUGCCACAAGGAAUGAGCUUCCUCUGUUCAGUUAUAUGAUCAACAUAACAUUGGAUUGGAUAAGUUCUAUGACAGUUUAGGGCCUUUGGGCAAUACUGAGAAGAUUUCUUUAUCUUCGAAGCCUCUACUUUAGAGUGGGAUUCGAGUACUAUCCGGAAAAUGGAGGGGAUGAGUUGCUACACCAAGUGCCUUCGUGUUUCCUCACCGAGCUCACAAAGAUUUCUGUCAAGUUUCGUGAUGGGAUAGAUGGUCAGGAAGAACUUUACAUGGUUGGGGUUUUCCUUGAAAAGGCUGUGGCUGUGAGAGAAAUGGUUAUCCGAUUUCCCGAGGACUAUGUGGACGAGGAGAAUCUGCUGGAGAGUUUAAAUAAGUUUCCCAAGUGGUCGAAUAGAUGUCGAAUCUGGUUGCAACCACAAUCUAGGGUUGAGAUUGGAAAUCUUGGAGGAUUAAUGUAGGCCAUAUUAUUUUUGGACUCAUGAAACGAAGGGGCAAGUCAACCUCUAUCGUUCUUUUUUUAGUUGCCGCUUUGUUUAGUUAUAUACUUUGCAAGUUUGAUGUGAUUUUUUCCUCAGAGACUCGACUGAGGAUAUAUGCAAUCUAGAAUCCUUUGUCA